This 426-nucleotide long non-coding RNA is filed under the name Citrus sinensis (sweet orange). RNAcentral describes it as "long non-coding RNA (CSIN_LNC004169)". The record is from RNAcentral. Lineage: Eukaryota; Viridiplantae; Streptophyta; Magnoliopsida; Sapindales; Rutaceae.
AUGAAUUAGCUAUAGUUUGCAAUUGAUGCAAGAUGAUUUGUAGGUUCAUACUUAAUAUUAUCAUGUAUUUUGACUAUUAAUUAUCAAUUUACCUUGAUAUGCAGAGUCACAGGGCUAUGGAAAUAUUUAAACAAAUGAAAACUUGUGGUAUCCCACCUAAUGCUGCAACUUACAACAUAAUGAUUGAUUGCUGUAGCAUUAUAAGAUGCUUCAAAUCUGCUUCUGCACUAGUUUCCAUGAUGGAAAUCUGCUUCUGCAGAAAACUUGUGGUAUCCCACCUAAUGCUGCAACUUACAACAUAAUGAUUGAUUGCUGUAGCAUUAUAAGAUGCUUCAAAUCUGCUUCUGCACUAGUUUCCAUGAUGGUGCGGGAUGGGUUUUAUCCACAGACAAUGACAUAUACUGCUCUCAUAAAGGUAUCCUUUUC